AUUUUUUGUAACAUUUUCUCUUUUAUUUUCUAUUCCUUUUCUUUUUGUUCUUCACUUUUUUUUUUCUCUCAUUCCCUUUUCUUUCUUCCCCUUCCCCUUCGCCUUCCGCUUCCACCCAAACCACUCUUCCAGUACACCCAUGUUUUUCACUGUAAGCCACCGCAUGUAAAAUUUUCAAUUAUCACGAUUGCUUUCUAAAAUCCCCAAAAUUUCCACCUUUCUUUGAUUUUGAUGACUUUUAAAUUUGUUGAAAUUUGUGAUUUUUCUCAAACUUUUGUCUCAAAUAUUGAGAAAGAAUCAUGAGUCCGCUACACCCCACUACAUUCUGCAUCUCCGAACCCUAAUGUAAAUCGAUAGCAGCAGCAAGCCUUAGCAAUUAGACAUACAAAUCCUCUAAAGAAAAUGCGCCACCGACAUCAAAUCCGAAUUCGACUGUGUCAACUGCCACUGCCAUGAUAAAGAGCCCGCUUCCUCUAUAGCCCACGCUCAAGAGGAAGCUCUAUGUGGAGGCCGUAGUCGGGUUGGAGGAUAGUGAUGGACCCGCGAAUCCUGUCGAUUCUGGACAUUCAAUUUCAGCAUCUUCACAUCAACAUUGCAAUAAAGCUUGAUUUCCUAAUUUGGGGCAAGUUCACUCAUUCUUUUAAGAGUUAUGUACUGAAUUGAGGAGUUGGGAAAAUUAGGCUUGGUUUUUCUGACUGGAUUGAUGCGGUUUAUGCUUGUAAUUAAACAUGAAUUCACUUUUCCCUCUUUGAUUUCAUAGGUGUGGAUAGGGUGUCCGCAAAAAUGAUAGAAAAAAGAAUGAGUGUUGGAUUUUACUGUAGCUUUUAUUUUUGUAAUUGAUAGUUUUUUAAAACACAGCUUUUGCUAUGGAAUAGAAACAGGCUAUUAUUACUCUCUAAA
RNAcentral lists this long non-coding RNA (900 nucleotides) under Olea europaea subsp. europaea. Lineage: Eukaryota; Viridiplantae; Streptophyta; Magnoliopsida; Lamiales; Oleaceae. The record is from RNAcentral.